RNAcentral lists this ribosomal RNA (253 nucleotides) under uncultured bacterium. Its description in RNAcentral is "partial 16S ribosomal RNA". It matches the Rfam family "Bacterial small subunit ribosomal RNA", at positions 524 to 776 of the family's 1533-position model. The record is from RNAcentral.
UACGUAGGUGGCGAGCGUUGUCCGGAUUUACUGGGCGUAAAGGGCGUGCAGGCGGUUUGCUAAGUCUAGGGUGAAAGCUCCCGGCUUAACUGGGAGAGGUCCUUGGAUACUGGCAGACUUGAGGAGGGUAGAGGAGAGUGGAAUUCCCGGUGUAGUGGUGAUAUGCGUAGAUAUCGGGAGGAACACCAGUGGCGAAGGCGGCUCUCUGGGCCCUACCUGACGCUGAGACGCGAAAGCGUGGGGAGCGAACCGG